RNAcentral lists this long non-coding RNA (1461 nucleotides) under Ananas comosus (pineapple). Its description in RNAcentral is "long non-coding RNA (ACOM_LNC024026)". Lineage: Eukaryota; Viridiplantae; Streptophyta; Magnoliopsida; Poales; Bromeliaceae. The record is from RNAcentral.
AUUUAUUAUAAUAUUAUUUUAUAAAUUAAUUGAAUUAACUUCCACCAUCAAAUUUACUUGACUAAAUAUUGAUAGGUUGCUGAUUUAAAAAUGAUAUAGCGAUUUAAUUAUUGUCAUACCAUCAAUCACAAUAUUGCUAUAUCACUUUUAUAUUAACGACACAUAAAUAUUUAGUCAGUUAAAUUAGAUUGCAUAACUUGAUUGUGACAAUUCAGAAAGUUCGAGUCGAAAAUUGCAAUAAAUUAAAUUUGGCUAAAUUACAGAAAAUAUCACUGUCAAAAUUUGAAUUUUUCACUUUCAUUUCUUGUCAUUUAAAAACCUACACUUUACCCCCUUGUAAAAUAAAAAAUAUUCACUUUACUCCCUACCGUUAGUGAUCCGUUAAGAUUCCAUUAUAAAAUAUUUUUAUACCAAAAGUACCCUCUGCCCUCUCUAUUGUUGCUUCGCCCUCCUCCGCCUCGCCGCCUCGCCCUCCUCCACUGCCUCGCCCUCACCCACAUCUCCUUUGCCCACCUCUUCAUCCACGCCCACCUCGAUUUCCUCCCUAUUGUCGCCGAAAUGGAGGGGCGACGAGGGUGUAGGAGAAGAAGUGGAGCAGGUGGAGAAGAAGAUAGAGAGGAACUGCAGCUGAUCGAGACGCGAAUCACAGCCGAUCGAGGCAGCGGAUGAGCAAGAUGAGGGAGGAGACGAAAUAGUGAGGGAUAAAAUGGUUAUUUUGUUGUCACAGUUCACACCGUACCUCCAUGAAUAUUUUUUAUUUUACAACGGGGCAAAGUGUAGAUUUUUAAAUGACAUUGGCGAAAAGUAAAAAAUCGAAUUUUGACAGAAAAAUUUUAUGUAAUUUAGCCAUUAAAUUUUGAUGACCAAAAUGUCAUGCACCUCAUAGCUUGAGGAUCAAAAGUAUAAUUUACCAUAACNUCACUUUACUCCCUACCGUUAGUGAUCCGUUAAGAUUCCAUUAUAAAAUAUUUUUAUACCAAAAGUACCCUCUGCCCUCUCUAUUGUUGCUUCGCGGCACCCAUAACCACCCCCUCGCCCUCCUUUUUCGCCUCGCCUUCGCCCUCGUUGUUCUUGCCCACCUCUUCAUCCACGCCCACCUCGAUUUCCUCCCUAUUGUCGCCGAAAUGGAGGGGCGACGAGGGUGUAGGAGAAGAAGUGGAGCAGGUGGAGAAGAAGAUAGAGAGGAACUGCAGCUGAUCGAGACGCGAAUCACAGCCGAUCGAGGCAGCGGAUGAGCAAGAUGAGGGAGGAGACGAAAUAGUGAGGGAUAAAAUGGUUAUUUUGUUGUCACAGUUCACACCGUACCUCCAUGAAUAUUUUUUAUUUUACAACGGGGCAAAGUGUAGAUUUUUAAAUGACAUUGGCGAAAAGUAAAAAAUCGAAUUUUGACAGAAAAAUUUUAUGUAAUUUAGCCAUUAAAUUUUGAUGACCAAAAUGUCAUGCACCUCAUAGCUUGAGGAU